Molecule: long non-coding RNA, 772 nt
Organism: Belonocnema kinseyi
Lineage: Eukaryota; Metazoa; Arthropoda; Insecta; Hymenoptera; Cynipidae
Exons: 3
Source: RefSeq, a predicted model, not a curated record
CAAAAGGCUGAUCUCAAAAGUCAAAAGAUGUGAAAAAGUUCAGGAUUUCCUUUCUAAAAUAAUGAGGAAAACAUUGGUAUGAAUUCAAGAGACAAAAGGUAAAAAAGUCCAGACAAAGAGCGUUUUUUCUACUGGAUCGUAUAUCACAAAUCUGGGAGAAUGGAGAGUCAUAAGUCACCCAGGAUUAUUGGUUGACUUUUCUUUCAGCAAGUAACCUGCAUUUCGAAUCUCGGCCUUUAGCCAAUAUCGGUCUAUCCAAACGAAAACAGACAGGUCCGUGUGAAAGUUUCUGUUGAAUUUGGACGCAUGCUAACAGCUUACGCAACCUGACGAAACUAAAAUGCUGAAAGUGGGGUCCUUAUGCGGCUUGUCACGCUUGAGUGAUCCCCGCAUCUCUAGGUCCCGCAUAUUCCCUCACCACGAAACUGCCAAUGAUAUUUAUUCUCGGAAUAACGUAAACCGAGGGUACUUAUAUCGAAACUGAAUUUCGACGAGGCAGGUUUUUUCUUAUAAAAAUAGAAACAUCUUAGGAUAGAAAAAAUUUGAUGGUUCAUUUUGUGGGAAUCUAAAGCAUUAACAAAACAACAUUUGAACGUAUGUAGUAAGAAAUAAAAGAUUUUUUGAAUGAAAAUUAGUGCUACGUGCGGACCAGUGCGGACUGGUGCGGACUGGUGCGGACUAUACGAACCGAAUAAAUAAGAAUAUCUACUUGACUGGCCGUUGAAAAUAAACUUGAAUCUGCACACGUUUUGCAUUUACGACUGUAUCGUUC